AAUGAACGCUGGCGGCAUGCCUAACACAUGCAAGUCGAACGAAGGCUUCGGCCUUAGUGGCGCACGGGUGCGUAACGCGUGGGAAUCUGCCCUUGGGUUCGGAAUAACAGUUAGAAAUGACUGCUAAUACCGGAUGAUGUCGUAAGACCAAAGAUUUAUCGCCCAAGGAUGAGCCCGCGUAGGAUUAGCUAGUUGGUGGGGUAAAGGCCUACCAAGGCGACGAUCCUUAGCUGGUCUGAGAGGAUGAUCAGCCACACUGGGACUGAGACACGGCCCAGACUCCUACGGGAGGCAGCAGUGGGGAAUAUUGGACAAUGGGCGAAAGCCUGAUACAGCAAUGCCGCGUGAGUGAUGAAGGCCUUAGGGUUGUAAAGCUCUUUUACCCGGGAUGAUAAUGACAGUACCGGGAGAAUAAGCUCCGGCUAACUUCGUG
This 433-nucleotide ribosomal RNA is filed under the name uncultured bacterium. RNAcentral describes it as "partial 16S ribosomal RNA". It matches the Rfam family "Bacterial small subunit ribosomal RNA", at positions 29 to 507 of the family's 1533-position model. The record is from RNAcentral.